AGUAGGGUGCCAUCAAGAGGUGUAUUUGGAAAUAUCCCUAAUACAGGAUCACUUG
This 55-nucleotide ribosomal RNA is filed under the name Enterocytozoon sp. RNAcentral describes it as "partial large subunit ribosomal RNA". Lineage: Eukaryota; Fungi; Microsporidia; Enterocytozoonidae. The record is from RNAcentral.